GAAUUCACUAGUGAUUCAGGCCUAACACAUGCAAGUCGAGGGGUAGAACACUUCGGUGUUUGAGACCGGCGCACGGGUGCGUAACGCGUAUGCAAUCUACCUUGUACAGGGGAAUAGCCCAGAGAAAUUUGGAUUAAUGCCCCAUAGUAUAUAACCUUCGCAUGUUGGUUAUAUUAAAGUUCCAACGGUACAAGAUGAGCAUGCGUCCCAUUAGUUAGUUGGUAAGGUAACGGCUUACCAAGACGAUGAUGGGUAGGGGUCCUGAGAGGGAGAUCCCCCACACUGGUACUGAGACACGGACUAGACUCCUACGGGAGGCAGCAGUGAGGAAUAUUGGUCAAUGGUCGCAAGACUGAACCAGCCAUGCCGCGUGCAGGAAGACGGUCCUAUGGAUUGUAAACUGCUUUUAUACAGGAAGAAACCCUCCCACGUGUGGGAGCUUGACGGUA
This 449-nucleotide ribosomal RNA is filed under the name uncultured bacterium. Its description in RNAcentral is "bacterial SSU rRNA". It matches the Rfam family "Bacterial small subunit ribosomal RNA", at positions 34 to 477 of the family's 1533-position model. The record is from RNAcentral.